Molecule: ribosomal RNA, 406 nt
Filed under: uncultured bacterium
Lineage: Bacteria
Description: partial 16S ribosomal RNA
Rfam family: Bacterial small subunit ribosomal RNA
Source: RNAcentral
AUUGAACGCUGGCGGCAGGCCUAACACAUGCAAGUCGAACGAGUGGCGGACGGGUGAGUAAUGUCUGGGAAAUUGCCUGAUGGAGGGGGAUAACUACUGGAAACGGUAGCUAAUACCGCAUACCAUCGGAUGUGCCCAGAUGGGAUUAGCUAGUAGGUGGGGUAAAGGCUCACCUAGGCGACGAUCCCUAGCCGGCCUGAGAGGAUGAGCGGCCACACUGGAACUGAGACACGGUCCAGACUCCUACGGGAGGCAGCAGUGGGGAAUAUUGCACAAUGGGCGCAAGCCUGAUGCAGCAAUGCCGCGUGUGUGAAGAAGGCCUUCGGGUUGUAAAGCACUUUCGGCGGGGAAGCGUUACUCACAGAGGAAGCACCGGCUAACUCCGUGCCAGCAGCCGCGGUAAUAC